RNAcentral lists this ribosomal RNA (429 nucleotides) under Gemmatimonadota bacterium. RNAcentral's name for it is "Gemmatimonadetes bacterium partial 16S ribosomal RNA". It matches the Rfam family "Bacterial small subunit ribosomal RNA", at positions 355 to 776 of the family's 1533-position model. The record is from RNAcentral. Lineage: Bacteria; Pseudomonadati; Gemmatimonadota.
UAGGGAAUCUUCGGCAAUGGACGAAAGUCUGACCGAGCAACGCCGCGUGAGUGAAGAAGGUUUUCGGAUCGUAAAACUCUGUUGUUUGAGAAGAACAAGGACGUUAGUAACUGAACGUCCCCUGACGGUAUCUAACCAGAAAGCCACGGCUAACUACGUGCCAGCAGCCGCGGUAAUACGUAGGUGGCAAGCGUUGUCCGGAUUUAUUGGGCGUAAAGCGAGCGCAGGCGGUUUCUUAAGUCUGAUUUAAAAGCCCCCGGCUCAACCGGGGAGGGUCAUUGGAAACUGGGGGGCUUGAGUGCAGAAGAGGAUCGUGGGAUUCCAUGUGUAGCGGUGAAAUGCGUAGAUAUAUGCAGGAACCCCAGUAGCGAAGGCGGCUCUCUGGUCUGUAACUGACGCUGCGGCUCACAAGCGUGGGGAGCAAACAGG